Molecule: long non-coding RNA, 3052 nt
Organism: Haliotis rubra (blacklip abalone)
Lineage: Eukaryota; Metazoa; Mollusca; Gastropoda; Lepetellida; Haliotidae
Exons: 2
Source: RefSeq, a predicted model, not a curated record
UCCCAUUAGUCGCCUCUUAAGACAAGCAUUGGUUACUGAAGAUCAAUUCUAACCCAGAUCUUCACAGGUCAUGUUCUGUGAAUAUGCAUGAAUUUCACACAAAAAUUAGACCACGGUUAUAACUUUAUUGGUUGAUAUUUCUUUCUUCCAUUUUGUCAAUGUGUUUACCAGCAUUCGGUCCAGACUUGGGGUUGAAGAAUGUCUCUGGGUAAGUCUAUGUAUAGCCCUGAUUUAAGUAGACGAUUUGGAUUAUAAUGUUAAAAUCUGAUAUCGAUUUAUGCACAUGCAUUAAAAUGUUUAUCCUUUUGUUGGUAACUACCCAGAUAAAUAUUGGCACUACAAGAUGGGUUAUUUAUAACCAGAUUGAUGUUGUUGUUGCCAUAGUGUCAGUCAAACUGAUUCUGUUUGAUCAACAGAGCAUUUUUAGAAGCAUUUAUUUCACCUGUUUUAUUUUAGUCCAUUAUUCAACAGUUUCAUUGUUUUAAUGUUUGUCUUUGUAUGGUUUUAGAUAUUCAUGAUACAGACAAACUUAAUGGUAGGAGUGAAACGGUAUGCCACGGUAUUAGUAGAACCGCGGUAUUUUGUCUUCGGUUCAGUAUGGAAAAUUGGUAUUUUCUGAUUUUGUACCAUCAUUUCUAUCUGGUCAUAAAAUGACAGUUUUGUUCAUUCAAAAUAACAAAGAUAAUGGUUAUUUGUUUUCCAGGUUACUAAACAAUGUAAGGUUUGGCUCUUGUCAAUUUUCUGCAUUAUGAUCAUAUCUCAUAUACCGAACAGAAACGGACCGAACCGGAGGCCUUGUACCGCAAUACGUACCAUACCAUUGUAAGAGCGUAGCGUUUCACCCCUACUUAAUGGUUGAACAACUUCUUUACUCAGGUGAUACAGAUUCUUGUAUCGUCAAGCAGGUAAGAAUCAGGUAGAAAAAUAUUAGGUGAUAGAGAUUCUUGAAUCGUUGUCAAGCAGGUAUGAAUCAGAUAGAAACACAUGUACAGUUUAGAAUUACCAGAAACAACAAGAAGAUGAUUGAGAAGUACAGUGACAAUAUGAUAACAAAGGAUUCAAUCCAGAAUCCAGUGGGCUGUACAGAGCAGGAGAAGUUGAACAUUUUACACAAGCAGUUAGGGUUGACUGAUGAGUUCAUCGUAUGCAGAGGGGAUGAAAUAACCGUGAUCUCGAUCAUAUCACUUAUCAUCAUAUUGUUACUGUACUUCUCAAUCAUUACCUCCUUGACAAUGAUACAAGAAUCUGCAUCGAAAUCUACAUACCUGAAUAAAGACGUUUUUGAUCCAUAAAGUAUGUCCAUAUCUGACUCUCCAACUUCUAAAAAAUGCCACUUUAAGAAGUUUGUACAUGCAUAAGCAAUGUCUUUCAUAUCCUACUGCGCCGACCAAUCGAGACAGGCUGUGACUUUUUGUCUCAGAUGGUGAACUUUCAAAACUAUCACUUCCUAUAGUCUGGCAUUUUUUCAGAUUUAUUUAAUGAAAUAUAGGAUUUAAGCUGAAUGAUAGGAAUUUAUAAAUAAUUAUUCUCAUAUGUAGUUAUUUUUCUGUAACAUUCAGUCCACACAGAAAAUGUUUUAAUUACAUGACUGACAAUCUAUUUGACAAGCCAGCUGGCCAGAAUAUAUAUGUGAAUUUUAUACACUGGUAUAUAUGUAUAAAUAUCCUCAUCUAUAGGUUUUUUGUCUCUUAGCUUCUGUCCAGAAGAAAACCUAUCAAUAAUACUUGAAAUUUAUUAGAUCAGCUAGUCUGGAUGGAAUGUAUGUGAGUUUAUAUACACUUUAUAGCAACUGGUAUAUAUUAUGUAGAAACAGGUAGUGUUUAAGAGUUUUUUGGUUUAUCCCUUUUGAGUUUUCCAUGGUUCUACAGUAAACUGUGAUUAUCAUGAACUCAAAGUGAUCUCUAAUUUUAGUUUGUUAUAUAUGUAGUUCAUUAUAUUAACUUUGACUAAAAUAGACAGCAAGCGGACAGGACCAAAUAUUGUUUUGUUAUAUCGGUCAGUUCUUUUUAAGUGUGUUAGAUAUAAACAUAGUUUACUGUAAUAUUCAUGAUGGUACAGCAAAUAUUAAAAUAAAAUCAUUGAGGUGAGCUACAGAGCUAUGAUGGAGUUGUUUUGUGCUACAGGACAAAUUUGUAUAACACACUGUACCGGUGUCCAGUUGACCUUCCAACGUUAAUUAUGUUGUUUAUUUAAAAAAAUCAACAAGAAAACAGCCGGUAUAGUGGAAAAAUUAUCAGGGCAAGUGAUUUUACAUGUGCCACUGUACUGGAGUACACUAGCAAUUUUAAAGUUAUUUCCACCCCUGGUUUUACUUGAACUUGGUGUUAUUUGUGAAAGCGAGAUAUGUACCAUAGCAUAUAUCUAUGUCAGGAAGGAUAAUAGUCCACAGUCUUCUAUAUAUAGUUUGGUCAUUGACCACAUCACUAUCAUUGUCAUGGUAACCUCUCACUGUCAACAACAUCAAAAGAAAUGCAUUUGCAAAUUUCCCAUCUUUAAAGGAUGACUAGUAUGUCAGGAACAUAAAUUUCCUGGAGUGUUUAAGAUAAAUUCAAUCAUGACUUGGAAGGAGCUUGUAGUGCUUAUGAAAUGUAACAGACAAAACCAACCUUGUGAAAAUAUUAUUUAUACAAUUAAUCGUAGCACCACUACUAGGAUAUAAAGGUAAUAUUUACAGUAGCCAGUAGCUGCUGACAACAUGAUACUUGAGUGUUUCAAGGGCAUUGGUCUCGCCCCACCCUGAGCUGAAGCACAUUUGGGGUCUUAUUAUCAGAGUGACUGUUGGUAAUAUGCAUCUAUUCACCCAGCAGUGAAUGGGUAUCCAGUGGGACGAAAUGGAAAAUGUGACUUUUAACCUUCUAGUGCCUCACAGGUAACCUGGCUUAUUUGGAGUGUAAUAUACAACUGCAAACUGAUCCAUUGAAUCUGAAUUUUGUGAGCUUUGAGCAAAAUAUCCAGCAGGGAAAUGUACCAUACAAAUUAUUGUCAUUUUUGUUAUUAUUAUUUAUUGUUAUUCAUAUCAGUGCAAAUAAACUGCUAUAUUCUUAUAUAAGGA